RNAcentral lists this ribosomal RNA (367 nucleotides) under uncultured organism. RNAcentral's name for it is "bacterial SSU rRNA". It matches the Rfam family "Bacterial small subunit ribosomal RNA", at positions 526 to 896 of the family's 1533-position model. The record is from RNAcentral.
CGGAGGAUCCGAGCGUUAUCCGGAUUUAUUGGGUUUAAAGGGUCCGUAGGCGGAUCCGUAAGUCAGUGGUGAAAUCUCACAGCUUAACUGUGAAACUGCCAUUGAUACUGCGGGUCUUGAGUAAGGUAGAAGUGGCUGGAAUAAGUAGUGUAGCGGUGAAAUGCAUAGAUAUUACUUAGAACACCAAUUGCGAAGGCAGGUCACUAUGUCUUAACUGACGCUGAUGGACGAAAGCGUGGGGAGCGAACAGGAUUAGAUACCCUGGUAGUCCACGCCGUAAACGAUGCUAACUCGUUUUUGGGCUUUCGGGUUCAGAGACUAAGCGAAAGUGAUAAGUUAGCCACCUGGGGAUACGUUCGCAAGAAUG